Molecule: ribosomal RNA, 600 nt
Filed under: uncultured Gammaproteobacteria bacterium
Lineage: Bacteria; Pseudomonadati; Pseudomonadota; Gammaproteobacteria
Description: bacterial SSU rRNA
Rfam family: Bacterial small subunit ribosomal RNA
Source: RNAcentral
ACUCAAAUGAAUUGACGGGGGCCCGCACAAGCGGUGGAGCAUGUGGUUUAAUUCGAUGCAACGCGAAGAACCUUACCUGGUCUUGACAUCCACGGAAGUUUUCAGAGAUGAGAAUGUGCCUUCGGGAACCGUGAGACAGGUGCUGCAUGGCUGUCGUCAGCUCGUGUUGUGAAAUGUUGGGUUAAGUCCCGCAACGAGCGCAACCCUUAUCCUUUGUUGCCAGCGGUCCGGCCGGGAACUCAAAGGAGACUGCCAGUGAUAAACUGGAGGAAGGUGGGGAUGACGUCAAGUCAUCAUGGCCCUUACGACCAGGGCUACACACGUGCUACAAUGGCGCAUACAAAGAGAAGCGACCUCGCGAGAGCAAGCGGACCUCAUAAAGUGCGUCGUAGUCCGGAUUGGAGUCUGCAACUCGACUCCAUGAAGUCGGAAUCGCUAGUAAUCGUGGAUCAGAAUGCCACGGUGAAUACGUUCCCGGGCCUUGUACACACCGCCCGUCACACCAUGGGAGUGGGUUGCAAAAGAAGUAGGUAGCUUAACCUUCGGGAGGGCGCUUACCACUUUGUGAUUCAUGACUGGGGUGAAGUCGUAACAAGGUAA